UUAAGUUCAGCGGGUAUUCCUACCUGAUCCGAGGUCAACCUUAAAGAGGUUAGGGGUUUUACGGCCGGACGCCGCGCCUGACGCCCCGAGCGAUAGGAUUUACUACGCUGAGGUCCAGGCGGGCCCGCCACUGCAAUUAGGAGCCUACAGCGCGCAAAUGCGCUGUAGCGCCCCAACGCCAGGCCCGCUCCCCUUCCGGG
RNAcentral lists this unclassified non-coding RNA (200 nucleotides) under Diaporthales sp. RNAcentral describes it as "partial internal transcribed spacer 2". The record is from RNAcentral. Lineage: Eukaryota; Fungi; Ascomycota; Sordariomycetes; Diaporthales.